RNAcentral lists this ribosomal RNA (466 nucleotides) under uncultured bacterium. Its description in RNAcentral is "partial 16S ribosomal RNA". It matches the Rfam family "Bacterial small subunit ribosomal RNA", at positions 28 to 507 of the family's 1533-position model. The record is from RNAcentral.
GACGAACGCUGGCGGCGCGCCUAACACAUGCAAGUCGAACGAGCGAGAGAGAGCUUGCUUUCUCGAGCGAGUGGCGAACGGGUGAGUAACGCGUGAGGAACCUGCCUCAAAGAGGGGGACAACAGUUGGAAACGACUGCUAAUACCGCAUAAGCCCACGGCUCGGCAUCGAGCAGGGGGAAAAGGAGCAAUCCGCUUUGAGAUGGCCUCGCGUCCGAUUAGCUAGUUGGUGGGGUAACGGCCCACCAAGGCGACGAGCGGUAGCCGGACUGAGAGGUUGAACGGCCACAUUGGGACUGAGACACGGCCCAGACUCCUACGGGAGGCAGCAGUGGGGAAUAUUGCACAAUGGGGGAAACCCUGAUGCAGCGACGCCGCGUGGAGGAAGAAGGUCUUCGGAUUGUAAACUCCUGUUGUUGGGGAAGAUAAUGACGGUACCCAACAAGGAAGUGACGGCUAACUACGUG